CGUUUCUGUAGCAGAGUGAAAGCUUCCUUCUACCGUUUAAGUACCUUGUUGAUAACUCAGCCAGAAGCACACCCACCAGUUGGAAUCCAGGACUUUGCAGCCAGAGCCCUCCAACCCAAACAGGAAAUAGAAGCUCAAGAAAGUUCCUCUCCUUGAGCCUCUGCUGGGCCAGAAGUACAGCCUGCACUUUAGGUUUUCACUGGCUUUCUGUGUUCCUUCUUCUGGCUGAAAUCUCCAAGAAGAGCUGGCUCUGGAGUUUCAGACCUCCUGGAAUCCUUCUCUUUCAAAGUGGAACAGCAGGCUCAGGAUCAGUCUUUUCAGGCAUGGUGAUGAACGGCAUGAUCCAACAGGAGCCUUCAGACCAGAACAAUACACCCUGUGGGAAUGAAGACGAAAAGACACACAAAGAGAAAGGUGCAGAAGAGGUGAAAGACUUAACCAUAUGCACCAAUGUCCAGCCAGCCCCCUUUGCUGAGAGGAAGAACGUAAAUGUAAGAAGACUGCAAAGAGUUUUGAAUUCAAAGAAAGAGUUGCCAGUCUGAAGAGACUGAGGAACAUUGGACUACAGGAUCAGAAUGCUGCCUUCUGGCCUUAAGAUCCAUGAAUUCUG
Molecule: long non-coding RNA, 610 nt
Filed under: Gopherus evgoodei (Goodes thornscrub tortoise)
Lineage: Eukaryota; Metazoa; Chordata; Testudines; Testudinidae
Description: lncRNA (ENSGEVG00005013630.1)
Source: RNAcentral